RNAcentral lists this ribosomal RNA (492 nucleotides) under uncultured bacterium. Its description in RNAcentral is "partial 16S ribosomal RNA". It matches the Rfam family "Bacterial small subunit ribosomal RNA", at positions 29 to 507 of the family's 1533-position model. The record is from RNAcentral.
AGUGAACGCUGGCGGUAGGCCUAACACAUGCAAGUCGAACGGCAGCACAGUAAGAGCUUGCUCUUACGGGUGGCGAGUGGCGGACGGGUGAGGAAUACAUCGGAAUCUUCUUUUUCGUGGGGGAUAACGUAGGGAAACUUACGCUAAUACCGCAUACGUCCUACGGGUGAAAGCAGGGGAUCUUCGGACCUUGCGCGAUUGAAUGAGCCGAUGUCGGAUUAGCUAGUUGGCGGGGUAAAGGCCCACCAAGGCGACGAUCCGUAGCUGGUCUGAGAGGAUGACCAGCCACACUGGAACUGAGACACGGUCCAGACUCCUACGGGAGGCAGCAGUGGGGAAUAUUGGACAAUGGGCGCAAGCCUGAUCCAGCCAUACCGCGUGGGUGAAGAAGGCCUUCGGGUUGUAAAGCCCUGUUGUUGGGAAAGAAAAGCAGCAGGUUAAUACCCCGCUGUUCUGACGGUACCCAAAGAAUAAGCACCGGCUAACUUCGUG